GGAGGGGCUUACAUGAAUCGUAUCAGGAGUGUGUGAGGUCAGUUUGGGCUACCACGCUGACUUCCAGGACAGGUCAUCGGCCCUGCUAAGAAGUCAGCCCCACACUGCUGCCACUGUCCUUCCUGUACCUGUCACACCCUUGUCUGGUUGUGGCACACCCAACCAGAGAAGACUGUUCAGCCAGCAACUGCCCCAGGUGCUCAGGAUCCCAGUGCUGUCCCGAACCUUUCUCAGGACGAGCUUUUAAGCACAGAAACCAUACCCUGGGUUGACAUACUUGGGUUAGCAAGGGCAGCUGGCCAGACGCAGAACUACAGAAGCCUAAAAGCAAGACCGCUCAGAUGUGCUGUGAAUCUGUCACCUCCUGAUCACCAUCGGGGAGCUGUGAGCCAAAUGUUUGCUUCGUCCUGGAAUUCCUUCAAGCCGUUGAGAGGAAAAGGCUGGGAGGGAUGCUCAAAAGAGGUUACUUCCUUUCUGCAUCGGCUGUGCCUCUUUAUUAUGUGAUUACAUAGUGGAAGGGGGAAAAACACAUCCUUCAAUUAUCUUUAAAGGGACACUGGGGACAUCAAUCCUGUUCCUAAAGAUGGAGCCCCAGAGGACUACCCAUCGGACAAUGAGACAUAAAUCUCCAUUCUGUAUCAUUUUACACAGUCUAAGGUAUUUUGUUGUAGCCACGGGAACAAAUUAAGAAACACUGAGUUAUUUCAGCAACCUCACAACCGCAGUGUCUACAUGUACGGUCUCCACAUCACCGCCCCUGCGGCCUUUUCCUCCGGUUACCGCAACAUAAACCUCUGCACAUCAAUCAACACCUGAAGUUCUGACGACUCCCCAGAAAGCCCUAGCACACCCGCAG
This is a long non-coding RNA of Mesocricetus auratus (golden hamster), 856 nucleotides long. RefSeq lists it as uncharacterized. The record is from RefSeq and is a predicted model, not a curated record. Lineage: Eukaryota; Metazoa; Chordata; Mammalia; Rodentia; Cricetidae. The transcript is spliced from 3 exons.